RNAcentral lists this ribosomal RNA (402 nucleotides) under bacterium. RNAcentral describes it as "partial 16S ribosomal RNA". It matches the Rfam family "Bacterial small subunit ribosomal RNA", at positions 355 to 776 of the family's 1533-position model. The record is from RNAcentral.
UGGGGAAUUUUGCACAAUGGGGGAAACCCUGAUGCAGCGACGCCGCGUGAUUUAGAAGGCCUUCGGGUUGUAAAAAUCUUUUCUAUGGGAAGAAAAUGACAGUACCAUAGGAAUAAGGACCGGCUAAUUACGUGCCAGCAGCCGCGGUAAUACGUAAGGUCCGAGCGUUGUCCGGAAUCAUUGGGCGUAAAGGGUACGUAGGCGGGUAAGCAAGUUAGAAGUGAAAUCCUAUAGCUCAACUAUAGUAAGCUUUUAAAACUGCUCAUCUUGAGGUAUGGAAGGGAAAGUGGAAAUCCUAGUGUAGCGGUGAAAUGCGCAGAUAUUAGGAGGAAUACCGGUGGCGAAGGCGACUUUCUGGCCAUAACCUGACGCUGAGGUACGAAAGCGUGGGUAGCAAACAGG